GCGCCAGACUCCUACGGGAGGCAGCAGUGAGGAAUAUUGGUCAAUGGCCGGGAGGCUGAACCAGCCAAGUCGCGUGAGGGAAGACGGCCCUACGGGUUGUAAACAUCUUUUGUCAGGGAGCAAGGUGCAGGUCGGGACCUGCUGUGAGAGUACCUGAAGAAAAAGCAUCGGCUAACUCCGUGCCAGCAGCCGCGGUAAUACGGAGGAUGCGAGCGUUAUCCGGAUUUAUUGGGUUUAAAGGGUGCGCAGGCGGAUUUUUAAGUCAGCGGUCAAAGCGUGGGGCUCAACCCAAUCCAGCCGUUGACACUGGGGAUCUAGAGUGUGCGAGAGGUAUGCGGAAUGCGUAGUGUAGCGGUGAAACGCAUAGAUAUCACGCAGAACCCCGAUUGCGAAGGCAGCAUACCGGUGCACAACUCACGCUCAGGCACGAAAGCGUGG
RNAcentral lists this ribosomal RNA (438 nucleotides) under uncultured bacterium. RNAcentral describes it as "bacterial SSU rRNA". It matches the Rfam family "Bacterial small subunit ribosomal RNA", at positions 328 to 764 of the family's 1533-position model. The record is from RNAcentral.